CUCACCUGCCGUGUUGUGUGGCCCAGUUCCUAACAGGCCAUGGACCAGCAGCAUUCUGCUGCCCAGGGUUUGGAGACCUCUAUUUUAGAGUGAUCUCAGGUGAUCUCUUGGGAGUGGGAGGAUCUCUUCCACUUGACAACUCUUCAAGGACAAAUACUAAACCCUGUGGGGGGAGAGAAAAAUAACAGAUUGCCAGAUAGACUAAAAAACAAUUUAGCACUCAGCAAGAAAAGAAGCAAGAAUCCAAGCUGAAACAUCCCAUGUAGACAGUGUCACCACAACACUUCCAGAUAAAAAAGAAGAAAAGCACCCCUAUGCAUCUCAAUUAGAGAAUCAAGGUGAACCACAUCAUUUUCCUUGAAGCACUGCCAAAUGUUUGACAUAAACUUCAAUUAGGUUUCAA
This 403-nucleotide long non-coding RNA is filed under the name Pan troglodytes (chimpanzee). Its description in RNAcentral is "lncRNA (ENSPTRG00000053336.1)". Lineage: Eukaryota; Metazoa; Chordata; Mammalia; Primates; Hominidae. The record is from RNAcentral.